CCCUACAUUUCCACUUCCUGCUGCUUUUACCUUUCACCUCGUGACCUCUGGUUGUGAUGUCCGGUAUCCAUGGAAAUUGUCGCCCCUUCUGCCUUGUUACCUAACGGGGGGAUUGUAGUUUUCCAUUCACAGAUGCAACAGCACAGAGCAAGUGAGCAUUAUGCAGCCACUGGCUAUUGUGGAACUACAAGUCCCAGCAGUUGAGCACAAAGCAAAAUAUCUGUUUAUACAGCUUAAAAAUGGUGUCCUCCAUCCCUGCGCCUAUAGGCAGCUGGAUAACGUAAUUACAACGUGCAGGGGGACAGUCAGACGAGCAUCUGCAUCACCAUAGAGCCGGGGCUGCUACUAAAAGGAGACAUCUUGCUGAAAUGUUACCAUAAGAAGUAUCGCAGCCCGACCCGGGACGUUAUAUUCCGCGUGCAGUUCCACACGUGCGCCGUCCAUGAUCUGGGGGUCGUGUUUGGGAAGGAAGAUCUGGAUGAAGCAUUUAAAGAUGAAAGGUUCCCGGAAUAUGGGAAAGUGCAAUUCGUCUUCUCCUACGGCCCCGAGAAGAUCCAAGGUGAGGAGAGAAGGAACCUUCCUGCGUCUGUGUCAUGAAGGGAAGACAAGGAUUUG
RNA transcript from Hyla sarda, 615 nucleotides. It is a transcript of the gene named tensin-1-like, with no coding region annotated. The transcript has 4 exons. NCBI's taxonomy places the organism in Eukaryota, Metazoa, Chordata, Amphibia, Anura, Hylidae. The record is from RefSeq and is a predicted model, not a curated record.